This 1434-nucleotide ribosomal RNA is filed under the name uncultured bacterium. Its description in RNAcentral is "16S ribosomal RNA". It matches the Rfam family "Bacterial small subunit ribosomal RNA". The record is from RNAcentral.
GCGACAGGCUUAACACAUGCAAGUCGAGGGGCAGCACAGGUAGCAAUACCGGGUGGCGACCGGCGCACGGGUGAGUAACGCGUAUGCAACUUACCUAUCAGAGGGGGAUAACCCGGCGAAAGUCGGACUAAUACCGCAUGAAGCAGGGGCCCCGCAUGGGGAUAUUUGCUAAAGAUUCAUCGCUGAUAGAUAGGCAUGCGUUCCAUUAGGCAGUUGGCGGGGUAACGGCCCACCAAACCGACGAUGGAUAGGGGUUCUGAGAGGAAGGUCCCCCACAUUGGUACUGAGACACGGACCAAACUCCUACGGGAGGCAGCAGUGAGGAAUAUUGGUCAAUGGCCGAGAGGCUGAACCAGCCAAGUCGCGUGAGGGAUGAAGGUUCUAUGGAUCGUAAACCUCUUUUAUAAGGGAAUAAAGUGCGGGACGUGUCCCGUUUUGUAUGUACCUUAUGAAUAAGGAUCGGCUAACUCCGUGCCAGCAGCCGCGGUAAUACGGAGGAUCCGAGCGUUAUCCGGAUUUAUUGGGUUUAAAGGGUGCGUAGGCGGCCUUUUAAGUCAGCGGUGAAAGUCUGUGGCUCAACCAUAGAAUUGCCGUUGAAACUGGGGGGCUUGAGUAUGUUUGAGGCAGGCGGAAUGCGUGGUGUAGCGGUGAAAUGCAUAGAUAUCACGCAGAACCCCGAUUGCGAAGGCAGCCUGCCAAGCCAUGACUGACGCUGAUGCACGAAAGCGUGGGGAUCAAACAGGAUUAGAUACCCUGGUAGUCCACGCAGUAUACGAUGAUCACUAGCUGUUUGCGAUACACUGUAAGCGGCACAGCGAAAGCGUUAAGUGAUCCACCUGGGGAGUACGCCGGCAACGGUGAAACUCAAAGGAAUUGACGGGGGCCCGCACAAGCGGAGGAACAUGUGGUUUAAUUCGAUGAUACGCGAGGAACCUUACCCGGGUUUGAACGCAUUCGGACCGAGGUGGAAACACCUUUUCUAGCAAUAGCCGUUUGCGAGGUGCUGCAUGGUUGUCGUCAGCUCGUGCCGUGAGGUGUCGGCUUAAGUGCCAUAACGAGCGCAACCCUUGCCACUAGUUACUAACAGGUAAAGCUGAGGACUCUGGUGGGACUGCCAGCGUAAGCUGCGAGGAAGGCGGGGAUGACGUCAAAUCAGCACGGCCCUUACAUCCGGGGCGACACACGUGUUACAAUGGCGUGGACAAAGGGAAGCCACCUGGCGACAGGGAGCGAAUCCUCAAACCACGUCUCAGUUCGGAUCGGAGUCUGCAACCCGACUCCGUGAAGCUGGAUUCGCUAGUAAUCGCGCAUCAGCCAUGGCGCGGUGAAUACGUUCCCGGGCCUUGUACACACCGCCCGUCAAGCCAUGGGAUCCGUGGGUACCUGAAGUCGGUAACCCCGAGGAUCGGUCUAUGGUAAAACUCGUGACUGGGG